GAUGAAGAACGCAGCGAAAUGCGAUAAGUAAUGUGAAUUGCAGAAUUCAGUGAAUCAUCGAAUCUUUGAACGCAUCUUGCGCUCCUUGGUAUUCUGAGGAGCAUGUCUGUUUGAGUGUCAUUAAAUUCUCAACUACACUGACUUUGAAUUGGUGUGGCUUGGAUUUGGGGGGAAAAUUGUUGUGGGCUUUUUGUAUAGUCUGCUCCCCUGAAAUUGAUUAGCGGUACCUUUGUGGAACUGUCUACAGGUGUGAUAAUUAUCUACAUCUUAGACAUCUGCUGGAAUGCUGCUUUCUAAACCUUACUUGUAUUGACAAUCUUGACCUCAAAUCAGGUAGGACUACCCGCUGAACUUAAGCAUAUCAAUAAGCGGAGGA
RNAcentral lists this unclassified non-coding RNA (376 nucleotides) under soil metagenome. Its description in RNAcentral is "partial contains 5.8S ribosomal RNA, internal transcribed spacer 2, and large subunit ribosomal RNA". The stretch from base 1 to 120 matches the Rfam family "5.8S ribosomal RNA", at positions 35 to 154 of the family's 154-position model. The record is from RNAcentral.